UUGCAGAGGUGUGCGCGAGGCCGUGCGGCGAGCCGUGCGGGGACUGGAAGCCGAGGGCGCAAAGCGGCGCCCUCCCUGGCUCCUAGCGCCCAAGUUCGCUGGCGCAGGUCCCUUUAAGGGCCGGGCCCUCCGCAGAGCGCACGUGAGCGGCCUCAGGAAGCCUGCGUCUAGCCGCAGCUCCGACGCUUUCGGGCCAAGGAAGGCAUCUGCCCUGGACCUCUGACGUUAGUGGAAACUGAGGCCCAAGAGAGGGCACACACUGCCCAAGCGCCGGGAGUCCUGGAGCCCUGCUGUACUGGAUGCUAUGAGUUGCUAAAAGUGAGCCUGGCUUUUUAGGCAGGUUGUGGCCUAGAUGCUGAGAGCUUCUAGCCGUGAGUUCAGCAAGGUCCAACAUGGAUGGAACGCGUUUCUGGAAGCCAGAGGAGAGAAACAAUGGCAGUGGACUGGAGUCUGACCAUUAGGGCUCCUGUUGCCUGUGUUUGG
Cricetulus griseus (Chinese hamster) is the source of this 483-nucleotide non-coding RNA. NCBI's taxonomy places the organism in Eukaryota, Metazoa, Chordata, Mammalia, Rodentia, Cricetidae. The record is from RefSeq and is a predicted model, not a curated record.